UGGAAGGUGAGGGACGUGGAGGCACAGGGCCCGAGCUGAAGCCAAGGCGGCUGGAGGUCUGCAAGUGGAAGGCUGCUGGCAGAGGGCUGGCUGGGAGCAGUUCAUUACGGGACCUUCCAGCAAGCAGAGGCCUGGGACUUGCAGAAGCAACUGACUUGGACACUGAUCACUGAGUGAAGAUCAGAAGACUUUAGUCUCAGGGUAAUGAGGCCACCUGGAUUUAGAGCAGCCAUGGGCUUCCUGCUGAGGUGAUCUCUUCGCUUCCAGACCCUGGUGGGGAGAACCCAGCCAUG
Dryobates pubescens (Downy woodpecker) is the source of this 293-nucleotide long non-coding RNA. RefSeq lists it as uncharacterized. The transcript is spliced from 3 exons. The record is from RefSeq and is a predicted model, not a curated record. Lineage: Eukaryota; Metazoa; Chordata; Aves; Piciformes; Picidae.